Molecule: ribosomal RNA, 2296 nt
Filed under: metagenome
Description: bacterial LSU rRNA
Rfam family: Bacterial large subunit ribosomal RNA
Source: RNAcentral
CGUGAGGGAAAGGUGAAAAGAACCCCGGGAGGGGAGUGAAAUAGAACCUGAAACUGUGUGCUUACAAGCGGUCAGAGCUCUUCGGAGUGAUGGCGUGCCUUUUGGAGAAUGAUCCUGCGAGUUACGUUCAGUGGCGAGGUUAAGUAUAACGGAGCCGAAGGGAAACCGAGUCUGAACAGGGCGACAUAGUCGCUGGGCGUAGACGCGAAACCUGGUGAUCUAAGCCUGUCCAGGGUGAAGCUGUGGUAAGACACAGUGGAGGCCCGAACUCACCGCCGUUGAAAAGUUGGGAGAUGAGGUAGGUUUAGGGGUGAAAAGCCAAUCGAACUAGGAGAUAGCUCGUUCUCUCCGAAAUGCAUUUAGGUGCAGCCUUGAGUGUUUAAUUAUGGGGGUAGAGCACUGAAUGAACUAGGGGGCAUAUUGCUUACUGAAUUCAAUCAAACUCCGAAUACCAUAAUUCAAAGCUCAGGAGUGAGACUAUGGGAAUUAACUUCCAUUGUCAAAAGGGAAACAACCCAGACCACCAGCUAAGGUCCCUAAUUAUAACUAAGUGGGAAAGGAGGUGGAGAUUCACAAACAACCAGGAGGUUGGCUUAGAAGCAGCCAUACCUUUAAAGAGUGCGUAAUAGCUCACUGGUCGAGAGUCUCUGCGCCGACAAUGUAACGGGGCUAAGUUAUAAACCGAAGCUGUGGAAUUGCGUAAGCAAUUGGUAGGAGAGCGUUCUGUAGGCCGUUGAAGGAGAAGCGUAAGCAACUCUGGAGGUAUCAGAAGUGAGAAUGCAGGAAUAAGUAGCGAGAAAGGGGGCGAGAAUCCCCCUCGCCGGAAGACCAAGGUUUUCAGGGUAAAGCUUGUCUUCCCUGAGUAAGCCGGGACCUAAGCCGAGGCUAAAAUGCGUAGGCGAAUGGAAAACAGAUUAAUAUUUCUGUGCCAGUUAUAUUUUGUGAUGGAGGGACGCAGAAGGGUAUGUGCGCGGGAGAACGGAAGUUCCCGUAAAAGCAUGUAGAGUGGUCUAGUAGGAAAAUCCGCUAGAUUAGACUUGAGGUGUGAUAUAUAGUCGUAAGAUGAAUGCACAAAUCCCACGCUGCCGAGAAAAGCUUCUAACGUUAAGGUAUAACUGCCCGUACCCGAAACCGACACAGGUGGUCAGGAUGAGAAAUCUAAGGCGGACAGGCUAACUCUCGUUAAGGAACUCUGCAAAAUUGCCCCGUAACUUUGGGAGAAGGGGUGCCCCUGAAUGUUAGUAAUUACGCAUUAUGAAGCAUUUGGGGGUCGCAGUGAAGAGGCUCAAGCAACUGUUUAACAAAAACACAGGUCUAUGCUAAGCUGUAAGGCGAUGUAUAUGGGCUGACACCUGCCCAGUGCCGGAAGGUUAAGAGGAGGAGUGAGAGCUCCGAAUUGAAGCCCCGGUGAACGGCGGCCGUAACUAUAACGGUCCUAAGGUAGCGAAAUUCCUUGUCGGGUAAGUUCCGACCUGCACGAAUGGUGUAAUGAUUUGAGCGCUGUCUUGACGGGAGGCCUGGUGAAAUUGUACUACCGGUGAAGAUACCGGUUACCUACAGUAGGACGGAAAGACCCCAUGGAGCUUUACUGUAGCUUGGUAUUGGGUUUUGGCAUUGCAUGUAUAGGAUAGUUGGGAAACUAUGAAGAUAUGGCGCUAGCUGUAUUGGAGUUGUCGGUGGAAUACCAACCAUUCAAUGUCGAAAUUCUAAUCUGUGGUUUGUAGCCACGGAAACAGUGCUAGGUGGGCAGUUUGACUGGGGCGGUCGCCUCCGAAAGAGUAACGGAGGCGUUCAAAGGUUCUCUCAGGUUGGAUGGAAAUCAACCGCAGAGUGCAAUGGCAUAAGAGAGCUUAACUGCGAGACUGACGGGUCGAGCAGGUGCGAAAGCAGGACAUAGUGAUCCGGCGAUUCCGAAUGGAAGGGUCGUCGCUCAACGGAUAAAAGCUACCCUGGGGAUAACAGGCUGAUUUUGCCCGAGAGUCCAUAUCGACGGCAAAGUUUGGCACCUCGAUGUCGGCUCAUCGCAUCCUGGGGCUGGAGAAGGUCCCAAGGGUUGGGCUGUUCGCCCAUUAAAGCGGUACGUGAGCUGGGUUCAGAACGUCGUGAGACAGUUCGGUCCCUAUCCACUGUAGGCGUUAGAAUAUUGAGAAGAUCUGUCCUUAGUACGAGAGGACCGGGAUGGACAAACCUCUGAUGUACCAGUUGUCACGCCAGUGGCACAGCUGGGUAGUCACGUUUGGAACGGAUAACCGCUGAAAGCAUCUAAGCGGGAAACCAGCUUCAAGAUAAGUAUUCU